UACCAGCUCUCCGAGUGGUGUGGAUGUUUAUUGGGCCUAAAGCAUCCGUAGCUGGCUGGACAAGUCCCCUGUUAAAUCCACCGAUUUAAUCGUUGGAGUGCGGGGGAUACUGUUCGGCUAGGGGACGGGAGAGGCAGACGGUAUUUUCGGGGUUGGGGUGAAAUCCUAUAAUCCCGGGAAGACCACCAGUGGCGAAGGCUGUCUGAUAGAACGCGCCCGACGGUGAGGGAUGAAAGCUGGGGGAGCGAACCGGAUUAGAUACCCGGGUAGUCCCAGCUGUAAACGAUGCAGGCUAGGUGUUUGGGCGGCCACGUGCCGCUCUAGUGCCGCAGGGAAGCCGUUAAGCCUGCCGCCUGGGGAGUACGGCCGCAAGGCUGAAACUUAAAGGAAUUGGCGGGGGAGCACCACAAGGGGUGAAGCUUGCGGUUU
RNAcentral lists this ribosomal RNA (429 nucleotides) under uncultured archaeon. Its description in RNAcentral is "bacterial SSU rRNA". It matches the Rfam family "Archaeal small subunit ribosomal RNA", at positions 474 to 903 of the family's 1478-position model. The record is from RNAcentral.